This 85-nucleotide transfer RNA is filed under the name Felis catus (domestic cat). It matches the Rfam family "tRNA". Rfam says of the family: Transfer RNA (tRNA) molecules are approximately 80 nucleotides in length. Their secondary structure includes four short double-helical elements and three loops (D, anti-codon, and T loops). Further hydrogen bonds mediate the characteristic L-shaped molecular structure. tRNAs have two regions of fundamental functional importance: the anti-codon, which is responsible for specific mRNA codon recognition, and the 3' end, to which the tRNAs corresponding amino acid is attached (by aminoacyl-tRNA synthetases). tRNAs cope with the degeneracy of the genetic code in two manners: having more than one tRNA (with a specific anti-codon) for a particular amino acid; and 'wobble' base-pairing, i.e. permitting non-standard base-pairing at the 3rd anti-codon position. The record is from Rfam by way of RNAcentral. Lineage: Eukaryota; Metazoa; Chordata; Mammalia; Carnivora; Felidae.
GCCUGAAUGGCUCAGUCAGUUAAGCAUCUGACUUCAGCUCAGGUCAUGAUCUCACAGUUUGUGGGUUUGAGCCCCAUGUCAGGCU